GGGGAUGUAGCUCAGCUGGGAGAGCGCCUGCUUUGCACGCAGGAGGUCGGCGGUUCGAGCCCGCUCAUCUCCACCA
Molecule: transfer RNA, 76 nt
Filed under: Limnochorda pilosa
Lineage: Bacteria; Bacillati; Bacillota; Limnochordia; Limnochordales; Limnochordaceae
Description: tRNA-Ala
Rfam family: tRNA
About the family: Transfer RNA (tRNA) molecules are approximately 80 nucleotides in length. Their secondary structure includes four short double-helical elements and three loops (D, anti-codon, and T loops). Further hydrogen bonds mediate the characteristic L-shaped molecular structure. tRNAs have two regions of fundamental functional importance: the anti-codon, which is responsible for specific mRNA codon recognition, and the 3' end, to which the tRNAs corresponding amino acid is attached (by aminoacyl-tRNA synthetases). tRNAs cope with the degeneracy of the genetic code in two manners: having more than one tRNA (with a specific anti-codon) for a particular amino acid; and 'wobble' base-pairing, i.e. permitting non-standard base-pairing at the 3rd anti-codon position.
Source: RNAcentral